Molecule: long non-coding RNA, 614 nt
Organism: Cotesia glomerata
Lineage: Eukaryota; Metazoa; Arthropoda; Insecta; Hymenoptera; Braconidae
Exons: 2
Source: RefSeq, a predicted model, not a curated record
CAUUAACGUUAAUUAAAAUUAAUCAAUUGCAUUCACUUAAAAAUUUAAUUAAAAAUUUUUUUAUCAAUUUAAGAAGAUUAUUAUCUUCAAAAUCUUUGCAACGAUACUCGCUAAGCGCAGUAAUUUAAGUGGACUGACAAGAAAGAGACUUAUUCUUGUUUCAGUCUUAUUGUAACUGGACUGACGAUCCAAAUACCCAGUAUACCCAGCGCAGACCAAGAAAAGGCGAAAGUUAAAUGCAUUGACUCAAUUGUCCGACGUUUACCACCACGGGCACGUGGUUAAAUGCAUAAAUAUGUGACAGCCAAUGAACUCACACACUCAAUUUUUGCACGAAUAAUCUCAAUUGACUUACAAUGUGUAAUAUAUAUACUUAUAUACCUAUGUACAUCUCUAACUGCUAAUUGGAUAUUAUCUAAUAAACUCUACUCUCAAUGCUACUCUGGAUGCUGACAAAAAAACAUGUGUUAACCUCACUUAAUUAAAUAAAUGUUUACUCACUUUAUUUAGACACUUUAUCGAGAUUGUUUAUUUAUUUCUUCAGAGCAUUACAGAGAGUACAAGGAACAAGGAAAAGGAGAACUUCCCCCACUUUCGUGUCGAGAAAUGGGAAG